Molecule: ribosomal RNA, 491 nt
Filed under: uncultured bacterium
Lineage: Bacteria
Description: partial 16S ribosomal RNA
Rfam family: Bacterial small subunit ribosomal RNA
Source: RNAcentral
GAUGAACGCUGGCUACAGGCUUAACACAUGCAAGUCGAGGGGAAACGACGGGGAAGCUUGCUUCCCCGGGCGUCGGCCGGCGCACGGGUGAGUAACGCGUAUCCAACCUGCCUCUGACUGAGGGAUAACCCGUCGAAAGUCGGCCUAAUACCUCAUGGUAUCGUCUGCGGGCAUCCAACGACGAUUAAAGAUUUCAUCGGUCAGGGAUGGGGAUGCGUCUGAUUAGCUUGUUGGCGGGGUAACGGCCCACCAAGGCUACGAUCAGUAGGGGCUCUGAGAGGAAGGUCCCCCACAUUGGAACUGAGACACGGUCCAAACUCCUACGGGAGGCAGCAGUGAGGAAUAUUGGUCAAUGGGCGAGAGCCUGAACCAGCCAAGUAGCGUGCAGGAAGACGGCCCUAUGGGUUGUAAACUGCUUUUAGGCGGGGAUAAAGUGAGGGACGUGUCCCUCAUUGCAGGUACCGCAUGAAUAAGGACCGGCUAAUUCCGUG